This is a long non-coding RNA of Meriones unguiculatus (Mongolian gerbil), 3334 nucleotides long. RefSeq lists it as uncharacterized. The record is from RefSeq and is a predicted model, not a curated record. NCBI's taxonomy places the organism in Eukaryota, Metazoa, Chordata, Mammalia, Rodentia, Muridae. The transcript has 3 exons.
GCGCCCUCCUGACAGCAACUAAUAUGGUCUUCCCCGAGAGGGCCUUGCUUUAUCUCCCUCUCUGUCCAGGCUAUUUAGCGGGCUCAGUGAGCAGGUCUGACCUACUUUACACCGGCUUCUCCUCUAUUUUCAAGGUGUUGAUGCAGCUCAAGCUGAGACUUCCACACAGAAGGAAAAGUGGUUACUUAAGCUGAUGCCAACCUUUACCAGGUCUUAGAUUUUCCUGUUCUUGAAGACAUGGGAAGAUCCACAGAGACACUGUAAUUUCAAAUGAAAAUACCUUCAGCGUGAGCUAAAUGUGUAUUAGAAAUGUGCAAAGGAGAACCAGGUGGUGAUCAACAUCUGCAUGGCGGCGUUACAGCAUUAGUGGAAAGGAGCAUCAAGUCCUUUUGAUAAGUGUAGACUGAAGCGGUGCAGGAGAGCACACUGCCUUCCCCGUUAGACUUGCGGUCUGCAGAAGCGGAAGCUAACCUUCCGAGGUUUGUCCAGAGCAUUCCUGCCGUACAAGACCAGGAAGGAGCAACACAACCCAUGACACACUUUCUUCCCAGUUCUCAGCCUGCUUGCAAUGAAAUCUUAGCGUUAGCAUCUGAUUUAUAGAAUUCUCUCUGCCGCCGUGUUGAUUUUUACCCCAUUAAGGAUUUCUAAAACCAUACCAUCUCCGUUCUCUCUCUUUCCCAGAAGAAAGACGUUUGUUCACAUAGAUCAAAAGCACACAUUGCAAUACCCAAAUUAACCUUCCAUGUGGCAUUUUCUCUGGCCUGCUAGAUAGAGGCUGUCAAGAUCCCCCCUGCAUGUUUGUCAUGUGUGAGAAGGUUUGUCCUGACACAUGGCCUCCAUGAGACACUGGCCUUCUUAGUUGCCGUCCAGCCUAAGCUGUGGAAGGGCGUAUGGUUCUGCUCUGGGCUCAUCUGAAAAGACAUGCUCCCAACUCCUGCUUUCGAUACACUUCAAGCAAGAGGGAAAUAUAGCUCUAUUGGCUUCCUAAUAAAGGCACCUGCUAUUGCAGAUUGAAGAAAGACUCACACAGCAGCCAUCAACAGGAACAAGAAAGAGCUGGCACAAAAGCCGAGGGGAGAAGAGUACAAGGAGUGAGGAAAGGCAUUGCUCAGCUUGGUUGAUCAGAAGGUGGCAUCAGCUCAGUGAGCAGAAGGUAGGGGUUAGGGGUAUCUGCUGUUGGUUGAGAUGGUUUCUUUCUUUCCCCCACGAUAAAAGCAGCUCACUUUGGACUGGGUAUUUCCCCCUCCGCUCUGGACACUUUGCAUUCUCAUCUUGUGGUCUUGCAGUGACCCAUGGACUUUUUGAGAUAUAAGUGGUGUAACUCAACCCGGGGCUGUUGAGUGGCCAAGAAUGUCUCCUUUUACGCUUUGGUCACAGACAAGGCAAUCUUUGCAAAGCAGGCAAGCUUCAGCUUGAGGCAAACUCAAAAUUGUGUUUUCUCACAUUAAAGAAAAAUUUGGAGAAAUAAAAUAUCUACAAUAAAAGGAUUAAAAAUGCUGUGAGAACUGACAAUAAACUUUUUUAACUUUAUAAAGAGAAGGCUAAAUUGUAGUUUAUUUAGAAUUUUUACAAGUGUGUGUGUGUGUGUGUGUGUGUAUGUGUGUGUAAAUUCAGAGGAAAAUCUGAGGUUGGUUUUUCUCCUUUCACAGUGUAGUUUCUGGGAUUGAACUCAGGUCCCUCAGUUUUGACUGCAAGUACCUUUAUCUGCUAGCUUAUAGGUUUAUUUUAAAUAACAUCUUCAGUAAUUUAAUAUUCAGUUUUGAAAGACACAAUAUUGUUGAACACAUUAUAUAUACUCUUUUUACUGUUCAUUUUGGAUACAAAGCACAUCAGAAGAUAGACAGCAGCAGCCUAAGCUAUUCAUAAAGAUGAGAAAGUUUCUGUUUAAGAAAGACCUUUGUGUCUUUUGCAUAAACCAUCUGAUAUGAGCUUCUUAAGAGAUGAGAAUUUACUUUUGCUCAGUUUUGGCCCAUGAAUCAGCUGCCUCCAUUGCUUCAGGACUACCAUGAGGAAGAAAAUCAUGGCACAUAACAUGUAACAGAGCAGAGUGGCUCAUGGUGUCCAGGAAGCAGAAGAGAAGGGGAUGGGGACCAUGAUGCUCUUGCAGGCAUCUAUCCAGUGUCCCCCAUCCUCUAAGGUCGCCUCUACCUGCUAGGUUCUACCACUUCCUAGUAACGCUAGCAGUGGGUUAAUCUCCAGAUCAGAUUGCACUCCUUAGCUUUAACGAGCUGGUUACUAACCCUACAACACAUGAUCCGAGGAGACAUUUACAGUUUUACACAGUAUCUGCCUUGCUUUCUCCUCUGAUUUCAUGUUUUUCUUAAUAAUGGCUGAAAUUUGUUUUGUUAUUACGCAAUGCUCACAAAUUUGACUAGGGUCUUCAGCUCAUUAAAUUAGCAUUUACGUGUUACACUUAUGUCGAGGUAUGUCUUUGCAUGUUGGGCACUGUGGCACUGACCGUCCCUGAAGAGAAAGAUGGAGAUGCCUUCCCCCCAGUUCAUGGAAAGAGCUUUGUAUUCAGGAGGGUUAAGGAAUAUAGGCAUUGCUUUUCUUCUCUAGAACAUUUUACAUAAGAAGUGAAUCUACUAAACUCUCGGAAAGGAAUACUAUCUCUCUAGGGGAUUUCUAGGGAAUUGUAAAAUAAUCUAAAAUAUGCGGUUUCUUGGUAAUGUAAUUUUGGCUGUGGAUGUCUACCCAAUGCAUUUAGGUGAUUUAGGAUAGAUUUUAGUUUAUAAUGUCAUUUCUGAACUAGAUUUGCAAAGGUAACAUUUCCCCCUUCAGUUCCUUCCAGUUGCACAGAGCAAUUGUCCUUUUCUUCUUGUUACUCAUUUAUCUUUGGGUUUAACUGUUUUGAACAUUAGCUAAUUUCACAAAGGUCUUCAGUUAUCACCUGGACAUUUUCCAUGGCAAUGUUGGUUUGAAGAUAAAACAUUUCAAUUUUUUGUCUUAACAUGUCAAUUUCCAAUCCACUUAUUACCUUGUUAAGUACCACUUGUGAGUCUCUGAGCAAAGUGCAUUCACUUUUAUAUGAGUCCAAGCAUCUCUAUGUACACAGUGAAAAUGUCACACUUUUCCUGCUUAUGUCUGGAAGGUAAUGGUUGAGAGAAAUGAUUACUUUGGUCUGAUGGGCCAGCUUGUAAGUCUUAGCUCUGCUGCCUGGCACAUUGUGUUUCAGGAAAAGUUCUUUAGCAUCCCUGAGCCUCAGUUUACUCACUGGACAGUGGGGGAAAGUAACAGUAAGUUAGUCACGAUGUAAACCAGUCACGAUGUAAACCAGUCACGUGUUUUGUGUGCUCAGUAUGUUCCUACAUGUUAUGCUUGGAUGGGUACAUGU